Long non-coding RNA from Gossypium raimondii (Peruvian cotton), 917 nucleotides. RefSeq lists it as uncharacterized. Lineage: Eukaryota; Viridiplantae; Streptophyta; Magnoliopsida; Malvales; Malvaceae. The transcript has 3 exons. The record is from RefSeq and is a predicted model, not a curated record.
UAAGCCCAACAUGAAUUCUGGAAAUUUCGAGGGAGUUAAGGCGCACUACAACCCAGCAUUUAAAGGACCGGAGGGAGUUAAAGUUCCAAUGACCGAUGGCGUCUUGGAUCCCAGAAAGUAUUUUGCGGUGAUUUUCAAGGAAAAUUUGCACUCAAACUAGCAAGGUAUUUCGGUCAAACGAUCUAUGGAGACUUUGGGUGCGGGUACCUUAGGCCCUAAAGAUAGGAAAAAUAGCGGCAAAGACAACAUCGGUCAUGGUGGUGGAAAGCCUUCUAAUACCCUACGGGGUUGGGAGAGUCGCUUUAAAUUCUCUGGGAACUUUCAGAUUCCAUUAGCAGAAUCCAUUAAGGCGGAGGUGGAGCUCCUUUCUAUUCAGGCGUCUAGUGAAGCAGUGAAUAAUGCCUAGAAAGUAGCAGCUUCGACUGUGGAUGGGGUUACUAUCUCUCGACAAUAAUGGAGCAGGCUGAUUUUAUUACAAGUAAAAACAUCACCGAUAACAUUAUUAUCGCACAAGUGGUAAUUUAUUCCAUGAGAGGUCAGAACAAAAGGAAAUGGAUGACGAUUAAAAUAGAUUUGGAGAAAGCUUACAAUAGAGUUAUGUGAAAUGGAGUCCUACUGUCUAAGUUCAGGCCUCCCAGAAGAAUUCGACGAGGAUACCUGCUUUCUCCCUACCUUUUUGCUCUAUGCAUGGAAUGGCUUGGCCAUUCUAUUCAAUUGACUAUUUCUGUUGGAAAGUGGAGUCUAGACGUCUCUCUCGCUUGGGGCCAGCUAUCUCAGACUUGUUCUUCGUUGAUGAUUUAAUUAUCUUUAGCAAAACAGAUUUGAAGCAUGGGUAUUUAAAGAAAUAUUGGAAAAUUUUUGUAAGUUUUCUGGACAUAAAAUUAAUGCUAGAAAGACCAAUAUAUUCUUUUCUGAAA